UUAGAAAGAGAUGAUCCAGAUGACUCAAGAAAGUUACAGCUGCUGAUACAGCACUGCACUGGAAAGGCGAGUGAGGCUAUCGAGAGCUAUGUAAACCUAGCAGCUAGUGAUGGGUACCGGGUAGCAAAGGAGACUCUUCAUGAGCAUUUUGGGAAGCCUCAUGUUAUUGCCAUGGCUCAUAUCAAGAAACUAGUGGACUUACCUAGCCUUAAGUCUGGAGAUGUUCAGUCAUUGUUGGAAUUCUCGAGGCAUUUAAAUAAAGCCGAAAGGACCCUAAAGGGAAUGGGUGCGUCGUAUACAUCAGAUUUAAAUCAUAUGAAUACGUUGAGAGAGCUAGCGAAGAAACUUCCCAUGUAUCUCAGAGCUGGGUGGACUGAAAAGGCUGGGAGUAUCAUCGAAGAGGGUAGAAAACCAGAGUUUGGAGACUUUCAGAAGUUUGUCCAGCAAAGAGCGAAGUUGGUAAACAAUGAAUUUGGAACGGACAUGGCGGUUAGUACGAGAACAAAGGCUAAUAGAAACGUGGGGAUCUGGAAACGAAGGGAAGAAAACAAAAAUAAUGGAAUAUCGUCAUUUGCAGCUGGAUCGAAAGGCGACCAAGUGAAUAGAGGUGGACAACCAUUGAGUUGCGAAGCUUGUUCUGGGCCACAUCGUGUAUGGAGAUGUGAUACGUUCAAGAAAAUGGAGUUGAAUGAAAGGCAAAGAAUAGUUCUGCAAAGAGGAGCCAAGAACUGUUCCAAGACCAAUUUUAAGUGCAGAAUUGCUGAAUGUGGUGCUAAGCAUCACACACUGUUGCAUCAUACGAAGGGUUCAGGGACGGAGCGAGAUAAAAUGAAACAGAAGGAGGUGAAAUCAGGAACUAAGAACGAAGAUGGGGCCGGAGACAGUGUGCAACAAGUAAACGGAGAACCUAAUGGCUCAGUUGCAGCAACUAGAGCUGGGGAGAAAAGAGUAUGCCUCGGAGUGGUUCUAGUGCGUGUUCGGGGUCACAAUAGUAGUCAUGAAGUGGAAACGUACGCGUUGUUAGACAACGGAUCAGAGGUGACUUUGUGUCAUGAGCGAUUAAUGGAAACCCUAGGACUGGACGGUGACAAAUUGAAAUUUACCUUAACGGGAAUAAAUGGAACAACUGAGGUGGAAAGCCAAAGCAUAAAUAUUGUUGUUGAGUCGCUUGAUGGUAGUACUGCUGUUGAGUUAUCGAAAGUGAAAACGGUGAAACAAAUGCCAGUGUCAAAGGGCUGCAUACCGAAGAAGAUUGACUUGGAAAGAUGGCCGCAUCUAAAGGAUAUUGAAAUCCCCGAGUUAGUUGAUGGGGGAAGUAUUACUAUUGAUUGAUUUAAAAGAGAGACCACGUUUAUUCCUACCUUUGGAAGUUCGAGAAGGCGGUGACGAAGAACCAAUUGCCAUUCAAUAUAGCUUGGGAUGGACAGUAAUGGGUCCUGUUGGUGGAGCUAAAGAAACGCGCAAUUGUCUUGUGAAUUUUGCAUGAACGAAGAAUGUCAAUAGUGGUCUCGGAAUGAACAAUGACUUUGGCACCAAGGAAAAUCUUUCGGGCAAUGUCACCAUUAAAGAUAUAGAUAAAGGAGAAGAUGAGUACAAUAAAUUUGGGCUAGAAAACUGCAUGUUCGUUGAUCAAAGAGUAACAAAUGAAGAUGAUCUGCUAGGGCGCCAGCUAGAGCAUCUUUGGAACACGGACUUCAACGAGUCUACAGUACGAAGUAACGAAUCAAAUCUAUCGGUUGAAGAUAAGAGAGCCGUAGAAAUAAUGGAGAAAACGUUGAAAAGGAAGGAUGGUCAUUUCCAGGUAGCACUUCCGUGGCGAAAGAAACCCGUGGUGAUCCCAAAUAAUAGACCAAUGGCUGAGAAACGUCUUCAUUCGUUAAAACGUCGAUUGCAGAAGAAUAGUGAGUUAUUCGUCAAGUAUAAGGACGCUAUGCAAGAUUAUAUUGAUAAGGGGCACGCCGAAAGGGUACUAGAAGAAGAGCUGGAAGUAAACAAUGGCAAAGUAUGGUACUUACCUCACCAACCAGUCACGCAUCGCCUGAAACCAGAGAAAGUAAGGGUUGUAUUUGACUGUGCUGCAAAGUAUAAAGACCAAUCUCUGAAUAUGCAGUUAUUACAAGGUCCUGACUUAACAAAUAAUGAAAACUUUAUUAAAUGGAUAUUUAGCUUAUAUAUACAAUUGAAAAUCUCACUUAUAUCAGGUAAUUUACAACUGGCUACUUAAAUCACUGAUUACAUAUGCAAAAAUUAUACUAUUAAGAUAACAAAAUGACAGUACAACGUUUAAACACUUAACAGUUCCGGAUUCAUCCAUUCCUUGUUUCGACAACAAAAUAUAUAAUACGUUGUUCUGAUUGCAAUCGUCGUCAUUCUUCUAAUACAGGAAUUCUGAUGUUGCUUUUGAAAACCAAAAUCAUUAAGCAUUUCUAUGAAAGUAGAACAUUCUUUACUGAAAACACCAAG
This is a non-coding RNA of Paramuricea clavata, 2463 nucleotides long. The record is from the annotation of a GenBank genome assembly. Lineage: Eukaryota; Metazoa; Cnidaria; Anthozoa; Malacalcyonacea; Plexauridae.